UGGGGAAUAUUGGACAAUGGGCGCAAGCCUGAUCCAGCAAUGCCGCGUGAGUGAUGAAGGCCUUAGGGUUGUAAAGCUCUUUCGCACGCGACGAUGAUGACGGUAGCGUGAGAAGAAGCCCCGGCUAACUUCGUGCCAGCAGCCGCGGUAAUACGAAGGGGGCUAGCGUUGUUCGGAAUUACUGGGCGUAAAGGGCGCGUAGGCGGCCUGUUUAGUCAGAAGUGAAAGCCCCGGGCUCAACCUGGGAAUAGCUUUUGAUACUGGCAGGCUUGAGUUCCGGAGAGGAUGGUGGAAUUCCCAGUGUAGAGGUGAAAUUCGUAGAUAUUGGGAAGAACACCGGUGGCGAAGGCGGCCAUCUGGACGGACACUGACGCUGAGGCGCGAAAAGCGUGGGGAGCAAACAGGAUUAGAUACCCUGGUAGUCCACGCCGUAAACGAAUGAUGCUAGACGUCGGGGUGCAUGGCACUUCGGUGUCGCCGCUAACGCAUUAAGCAUUCCGCCUGGGGGAGUACGGCCGCAAGGUUAAAAC
Molecule: ribosomal RNA, 530 nt
Filed under: uncultured bacterium
Lineage: Bacteria
Description: partial 16S ribosomal RNA
Rfam family: Bacterial small subunit ribosomal RNA
Source: RNAcentral